Molecule: ribosomal RNA, 1792 nt
Filed under: Linepithema humile (Argentine ant)
Lineage: Eukaryota; Metazoa; Arthropoda; Insecta; Hymenoptera; Formicidae
Description: SSU rRNA
Rfam family: Eukaryotic small subunit ribosomal RNA
Source: RNAcentral
CCUGGUUGAUCCUGCGAGUAGUCAUAUGCUUGUCUCAAAGAUUAAGCCAUGCAUGUCUAGUGCAUGCCGAAUUAAGGUGAAACCGCGAAUGGCUCAUUAAAUCAGUUAUGGUUCAUUAGAUUGCACCCACAUUUACUUGGAUAACUGUGGUAAUUCUAGAGCUAAUACAUGCAAAACAGAGUCCCGACCAGUGAUGGAAGGGACGCUUUUAUUAGAUCAAAACCAAUCGGUGGCGGACGGGUAACCGCCCGUCCACCGUUUACUUUGGUGACUCUGAAUAACUUUGUGCUGAUCGCAGGGUCCUCGUACCGGCGACGCAUCUUUCAAAUGUCUGCCUUAUCAACUGUCGAUGGUAGGUUCUGCGCCUACCAUGGUUGUAACGGGUAACGGGGAAUCAGGGUUCGAUUCCGGAGAAGGAGCCUGAGAAACGGCUACCACAUCCAAAUAAGGCAGCAGGCGCGCAAAUUACCCACUCCCGGCACGGGGAGGUAGUGACGAAAAAUAACGAUACAGGAUUCAUCCGAGGCCCCGUAAUCGGAAUGACACUUUAAAUCGUUUAACGAAGAUCCAUUGGAGGGCAAGUCUGGUGCCAGCAGCCGCGGUAAUUCCAGCUCCAAUAGCGUAUAUUAAAGUUGUCGCGGUUAAAAAGCUUGUAGUUGAAUCUGUGUCGCACACCGUCGGUUCACCGCUCGCGGUGUCUAACUGGCGUGAUGUGGGACGUCCUACCGGUGGGCUUAGCCCCGCGAGGGGCGGCCCAACUAAUAUCCCGUCGCGGUGUUCUUUACUGAGUGUCGAGUCGGACCGGUAUGUUUACUUGAACAUAUUAGAGUGCUUAAAGCAGGCUACCUUUGCCUGAAUACUGUGUGCAUGGAAUAAUGGAAUAGGACCUCGAUUCUAUUUUGUUGGUUUUCGGAACCCCGAGGUAAUGAUUAAUAGGGACAGAUGGGGAUAUUCGUAUUGCGACGUUAGAGGUGAAAUUUUUGGAUCGUCGCAAGACGGACAGAAGCGAAAGCAUUUGCCAAAAAUGUUUUCAUUAAUCAAGAACAAAAGUUAGAGGUUCGACGGCGAUCAGAUACCGCCCUCGUUCUAACCAUAAACGAUGCCAGCUAGCGAUCCGCCGAAGUUCCUCCGAUGACUCGGCGGGCAGCUUCCAGGAAACCAAAGCUUUUGGGUUCCGGGGGAAGUAUGGUUGCAAAGCUGAAACUUAAAGGAAUUGACGGAAGGGCACCACCAGGAGUGGAGCCUGCGGCUUAAUUUGACUUAACACGGGAAACCUCACCAGGCCCAGACACCGGAAGGAUUGACAGAUUGAUAGCUCUUUCUUGAUUCGGUGGGUGGUGGUGCAUGGCCGUUCUUAGUUGGUGGAGCGAUUUGUCUGGUUAAUUCCGAUAGCGAACGAGACUCUAGCCUGCUAAAUAGGCGUACCUUAUGGUAUCGCAAAGGCCCGAUAAUGUUCUGGGCCGCACGCGCGCUACACUGAAGGAAUCAGCGCGUGUUCCCUGGCCGAAAGGCCCGGGUAACCCGCUGAACCUCCUUCGUGCUAUGGAUUGGGGCUUGCAAUUGUUCCCCAUGAACGAGGAAUUCCCAGUAAGCGCGAGUCAUAAGCUCGCGUUGAUUACGUCCUUUGUACACACCGCCCGUCGCUACUACCGAUUGAAUGAUUUAGUAAGGUCUUCGGACUAGUGCGCGGCAAUGUCUCGGCAUUGCCGAUGUUGCCGGGAAGAUGACCAAACUUGAUCAUUUAGAGGAAGUAAAAGUCGUAACAAAGUUUCCGUAGGUAAACCUGCGGAAG